Thalassophryne amazonica is the source of this 153-nucleotide long non-coding RNA. RefSeq lists it as uncharacterized. NCBI's taxonomy places the organism in Eukaryota, Metazoa, Chordata, Actinopteri, Batrachoidiformes, Batrachoididae. The transcript is spliced from 3 exons. The record is from RefSeq and is a predicted model, not a curated record.
UUCUGUGUGAUAAGCCCGGGGUAAGAUACGGCCUGCUUUACCCAGAGAGACUCAUUGUGACCCAUGACGGUGUUCAGUCCUCAUUCACUGACCCACAACAAGCUGAGGAAUACAUGGAACGCCUCCUCUCAUCCCCUCUACUGCCAGAUUACA